ACGAACGCUGGCGGCGUGCCUAAUACAUGCAAGUCGAGCGGAAUGAUGAAGAGGCUUGCUUCUUCUGAUUUUAGCGGCGGACGGGUGAGUAACACGUGGGCAACCUACCUUGUAGAUUGGGAUAACUCCGGGAAACCGGGGCUAAUACCGAAUAAUCCAUUUUGCUUCAUGGCGAGAUGUUGAAAGACGGUUUCGGCUGUCACUACAAGAUGGGCCCGCGGCGCAUCAGCUAGUUGGUAGGGUAAUGGCCUACCAAGGCGACGAUGCGUAGCCGACCUGAGAGGGUGAUCGGCCACACUGGGACUGAGACACGGCCCAGACUCCUACGGGAGGCAGCAGUAGGGAAUCUUCCACAAUGGACGAAAGUCUGAUGGAGCAACGCCGCGUGAGUGAAGAAGGUUUUCGGAUCGUAAAACUCUGUUGUAAGGGAAGAACACGUACGAGAGUAACUGCUCGUACCUUGACGGUACCUUAUUAGAAAGCCACGGCUAACUACGUG
This 499-nucleotide ribosomal RNA is filed under the name uncultured bacterium. Its description in RNAcentral is "bacterial SSU rRNA". It matches the Rfam family "Bacterial small subunit ribosomal RNA", at positions 29 to 507 of the family's 1533-position model. The record is from RNAcentral.